This 338-nucleotide ribosomal RNA is filed under the name uncultured Agaricales. RNAcentral's name for it is "eukaryotic LSU rRNA". The stretch from base 283 to 338 matches the Rfam family "Eukaryotic large subunit ribosomal RNA", at positions 1 to 56 of the family's 3401-position model. The record is from RNAcentral. Lineage: Eukaryota; Fungi; Basidiomycota; Agaricomycetes; Agaricales.
UCUAUACUAUGUGAAUCAUCGAAUCUUUGAACGCACCUUGCACUUUAAGAGUCAAUCUUAAAGUAUACCUGUUUGAGUAUCAUAACAUUUAUCCAAUUUUAUUGGGAGUUGAGGGUUUAGUUGCCACGGCGAUUAUCCCUUUAAAUGUAUUAGGGACUCUAGGAUAAGCAGUCUUAUAUCUAGAAUGAGGAUAUUACUCUUGUAGUAACAUAAUCAGGAAGGAGUAAAAGGGCUAAUCCGAUCAUGAGUUUCUCAGCCGUCUUCGGACAAGUUGUACAAAUGUGAUCUCAAAUCAGGCAAGAUUACCCGCCGAACUUAAGCAUAUCAAUAAGCGGAGG